UACGUAGGGGGCUAGCGUUGUCCGGAUUUAUUGGGCGUAAAGAGCGUGUAGGCGGCCAGAUAGGUCUGCUGUGAAAACUCGAGGCUCAACCUCGAGCUGUCGGCGGAAGCCAUCCGGCUAGAGUCCGGAAGAGGAGAGUGGAAUUCCCGGUGUAGCGGUGAAAUGCGCAGAUAUCGGGAAGAACACCUGUGGCGAAGGCGGCUCUCUGGGACGGUACUGACGCUGAGACGCGAAAGCGUGGGGAGCGAACAGG
Molecule: ribosomal RNA, 253 nt
Filed under: uncultured bacterium
Lineage: Bacteria
Description: partial 16S ribosomal RNA
Rfam family: Bacterial small subunit ribosomal RNA
Source: RNAcentral